CAAACUGGAGAUGGCGACCGGCGCACGGGUGAGUAACACGUAUCCAACCUGUCGAUAACUCGGGGAUAGCCUUUCGAAAGAAAGAUUAAUACCCGAUGGCAUAAUAGAACCGCAUGGUUGAUUAUUAAAGAAUUUCGGUUAUCGAUGGGGAUGCGUUCCAUUAGGCAGUUGGUGGGGUAACGGCCCACCAAACCUUCGAUGGAUAGGGGUUCUGAGAGGAAGGUCCCCCACAUUGGAACUGAGACACGGUCCAAACUCCUACGGGAGGCAGCAUG
RNAcentral lists this ribosomal RNA (275 nucleotides) under uncultured bacterium. RNAcentral's name for it is "partial 16S ribosomal RNA". It matches the Rfam family "Bacterial small subunit ribosomal RNA", at positions 77 to 353 of the family's 1533-position model. The record is from RNAcentral.